UGUUAAAGAUUUCAUCUAUUUUUUACUGUUAAAAACUAGCAUGAUUGAAUAAAUAAUCAGACAUUUACACGUGGCAUGCUAAGUGUACCUCAUGCUAACGUAUAGGAAUCGAUUUUUAAUAAUAGAAAUGGUUAGAAUUUUUAAUA
Molecule: non-coding RNA, 146 nt
Organism: Gossypium hirsutum (cotton)
Lineage: Eukaryota; Viridiplantae; Streptophyta; Magnoliopsida; Malvales; Malvaceae
Source: Rfam